GGGGGAGUAGCUCAAUUGGCAAGAGCGGCGGUCUCCAAAACCGUUGGCUGCAGGUUCGAGUCCUGCCUCCUCUG
RNAcentral lists this transfer RNA (74 nucleotides) under Fervidicola ferrireducens. It matches the Rfam family "tRNA". From Rfam's summary of the family: Transfer RNA (tRNA) molecules are approximately 80 nucleotides in length. Their secondary structure includes four short double-helical elements and three loops (D, anti-codon, and T loops). The record is from Rfam by way of RNAcentral. Lineage: Bacteria; Bacillati; Bacillota; Clostridia; Thermosediminibacterales; Thermosediminibacteraceae.